UUGCUUAAUUGCCAGCAUUCAGUUGGGCACUUUAAGAGACUGCCGGUGUUAAGCCGGAGGAAGGUGGGAUGACGUCAAGUCCUCAUGGCCUUUAUGCCCAGGGCUACACACGUGCUACAAUGGGUGGUACAAAGAGAUGCCAACUCGCGAGAGCGCGCCAAUCUCAGAAAGCCAUCCUCAGUUCGGAUUGGAGUCUGCAACUCGACUCCAUGAAGUUGGAAUCGCUAGUAAUCGCGGAUCAGCACGCCGCGGUGAAUACGUUCCCGGGCCUU
RNAcentral lists this ribosomal RNA (272 nucleotides) under uncultured Smithella sp. RNAcentral's name for it is "partial 16S ribosomal RNA". It matches the Rfam family "Bacterial small subunit ribosomal RNA", at positions 1107 to 1382 of the family's 1533-position model. Lineage: Bacteria; Pseudomonadati; Thermodesulfobacteriota; Syntrophia; Syntrophales; Smithellaceae. The record is from RNAcentral.